Molecule: ribosomal RNA, 253 nt
Filed under: uncultured bacterium
Lineage: Bacteria
Description: partial 16S ribosomal RNA
Rfam family: Bacterial small subunit ribosomal RNA
Source: RNAcentral
UACGUAGGGGGCAAGCGUUGUUCGGAAUUACUGGGCGUAAAGGGCGCGUAGACGGCCUGCUAAGUCGAACGUGAAAUCCCUGGGCUUAACCCAGGAACUGCGUCCGAUACUGGUUGGCUUGAAUCCGGGAGAGGGAUGUGGAAUUCCAGGUGUAGCGGUGAAAUGCGUAGAUAUCUGGAGGAACACCGGUGGCGAAGGCGACAUCCUGGACCGGUAUUGACGCUGAGGCGCGAAAGCCAGGGGAGCAAACGGG